UAGCUAGUCCAGACCUGGCUCACAGUAUUAGUUCUCAAUAUCGCGUUAAUUUGGAUUUUUUAAAUAAUAGCCAUUUGAAAUGUCGUUUACUAGCUUUUGUAUAAAUUGAGAAUGCGAAUAAACUGACUAUUCCAGAAUUUCACUUUCACCUUUAUUUUGAAAUUGGGCCUUAAGUUCUCUUACCGUAAUAUUUAGGACACACACAACUCCAAACAUGCACCCCCUGCACUGACUGUGCUUCUAAAACUGGAGGCUGGUUUGAGGAAAUCCUCAUCUGAACCCACCUGUGAUGUCCAGUCCUGAGGCAUAAGGGUCACAGGACAGACCAACCUCUCUGAUAAGGUCUCAGGCAAACCAGAUGUCGAAAUAUUUGCGCAGUGAAAUUUGGCUACCUGUGGUAAGUAAGGAAAAUAUUAACCUGACAGCUUGAACAUGUUGUUCCCGUGAUACCUACCUACAUCCAUCUAGUGUCAAGCAGUUUUCCUUUUCUCAUUCUUCCUAAUCACCUCCUGGGCUCUAUAGGCGUAUUUUCUCUAGAGUUUUUGUUUUUUCAGGGAGCAGGUCAAGUUCCUGAUAAAUACCCCAAACUUUGAAAACGCCACCUACUGACCAAUCAUUUCUCAGGAAAGAUGGCGUUAGCAGAUAAUCCUGAGGACCGCUGUGUGGAGAUGGUAAGAAGGUAUCUCUUUUUAACAAACUGUCUAAAACUGACGAUUUGCGUGAUUAGUAGAGAAAAUUCAGAUUCAGAAGAGAGAAAUUUUUCCUUUAUUUAGGUCUAAGUAAAAUACUAUUUUUAAAGUAGUUUAAUUUGCUCUAGACCAUUAAAAAAUAAUAAAAGAGCACAAGAGACUUCCUCCCGUGCCUAAGUGAAAUAACAGUGUCACUGAUUAGGCAUUUACCCCAUUUAGACAUUGCUAUCUCUGUUUCUGGGGUGGGCUGCAGCACCUCUGUUUCAGAAAGUUUAUUGUUAAAGUCAUAUUUACUUGUUAUUCCCAGUAAAUAUGCAGCUCUGGAUCUGUCCCCGUUUGACAGUCAUCCUCGAUUGGGAAAAACCUGUUGUUACGUCCCCUGGCUAGUCUAGGGGGUUGAAGGGACGAACAUAAAGGUGGAUAGAGAAGGAGGAGCCAAGAUGGUUUCAGAGACUCUGGAAGGAAGAAGUGGCAAAGAGAGGCCCGGAGAAGGCCUCGCUAGUUUGUGUGGCCCUGCGCUUUCUGAGAACCAGGCUGAUUCGGUCGACUGCUGUUUCCGUCUUUGUGGCAUUGUCAUUAUUUCUCGGGCCUACUGUUUUGGUUUAUCACAUUUUAAACUGUAUUGGAGACCCAGGACAGUCUGGACUUUUGAGUUGUGUUGGUUUGGCCUUCGCUCUGUGUUUCACAGAGUUAAGCAAAGUAUGGCUAGCCGCCCUGCAGUGUGCAAUAAACCUGCGUUCAGCAGUCAGACUGAAAGGAGCAUUCUCAUCAGUUGGUUUUCAGAAGGUCAUGUCUCUGCAGAUACAAAGGACCAUUUCAAACGGAGAGAUAGUUAACAUUUUGACCAAUGAUUGCCACAGAGUUUUUGAGGCAGUAACGUUUGGGUGCUUAGCGCUAUCUGUUCCUGUUGUCUAUCUUGUGUGCGCUAGCUACGCCUGCUAUAUUCUUGGCUACACAGCACUGAUUGGAGUCUUUAUUGAAGUUUUCAUCAUGUUUUCACAGGCUAAUUCUAAAAUUGAUGCCAGCCACAUGUUCCAAAAGACUGGGAAAAAAGCUGUGUAAUGCUGCAAACUGGGGAUUAGCAGCAAUACCACAAUCGAGGGGGGCCCUUCUGUAGGUGUGACCCUAGUCUGCAUGGUCCUGGUCUGGCUGUGGCUCAGAUACAUGUCUAUUGUUUAUGGAUCAUUGCUAAUUUUCUGGUGUGCUCAUGAAAAAAAAGAAGUUGAAGGCUGUAGCGAUAAAAGAUGGCAGAAUUCGGUGAAUGGGUGAGAUUCUCAACAACAUUAAACUUAUCAAGAUGUACGCCUGGGAAGACUGUUUUGAGAAGAAGAUUAAGGGUAAGUUAAGUAGCUGUAUGUUGGCCAACAGAAUUAUGUUAUGUGUAUAUAAAUAAAGAAUUGACACAUGUGUAGUCGUGCUGCCAGAACCUCCACAGAAUAGGGGCGAGACUGCUGUCACACCCACAUAGGAAUGUUCCCCAUUUAGAGCCCCAAAAAACACAUUUAGGCUUUAGUAGUGUUCUUGUCUCACCAAUACAUGCUCUCAGCAUAUAUUUAUUAUUUAUUUUUACCCAUUUUCUAUUUGUCAAUCUCUCUUCAUUAGAAGUUUGAGCAAUCUUCAGUAUUGGAAAUGUUUUGUUUAUGAAAUAACUGGAAAAAUGCACAGAUUUUGAUUUCUGUUGUGUUCUCUUACCAGCCUUGCAUAAGAGGAUUCAGUGUGAUUGUUUUCCCCAUCUUUAAACAUUAUAAGGAACUAUGCCUUUAUUUGUCUGUAAUUUUUAACAUGAAUGUUCAACUCUAGCAGAAUUGGUCAGAGCAAAAAAUAUUAUUGAAGGUAAAGAGAACUGGCAAACUUUUUCUCUCACAGGAUUUAGAAAAAAGAAAAAGGAACAACUAAAGUUGGUGGGUUACAUCCAGGCUACUAAUUGUACCACUACCCUAAUCUCUGCCACCUUUGCCACCGUUCUGACCCUCUUUAUACACACUGUGAUAGGCUUGCCACUUUGUGCAGCUAGUGCCUUUACCACUUUUGCCAUCUUCAACUUCAUGAGUUACUGCAUUGCUCUUAUGUUUAUGUCUGUGAAGUGGAUAAUUGAAGCUGGAGUGUCACUAAAAUGAUUAAGGGUAGAUAUACUGUAAAGGCUUGCUUUUCCUCCUCCCAGAGGGAGGGCGUGUGUAUGGGUUCUGUUUGUCAGUUACUUAGCAGUCUAGCAGUUUUAAAUUUAUCGUUUUCAAAUUUUGUGUGAUGUUAGAUCUUAAUAAGAGCUUAAGCAUAUUUAAUUUUGGUGAUAAUUGGGUCAAGGUUGCUCACACCUACUGUUAAAAUUGGUAAAAACUUUAUAUUACCCAGAAUUUUUUAUGGACUGUCUUCAAAGCUUCAUAAAAAUACACUACACCUUUGGGGACUUGAGUAACUAUAUUGGUUAAACAAUGUUGACUUUGACCUCCCAGAAAUCAUAUGGAGUAAUAUAUAAAAAGUGCACUCUCGCUCACCUUCAACUUUAAUUUAUUCUGCACAUUUUGACUGCUUUGUCCCCCUCCCUGGAUCAAUUGUUCUCACACUUUGUUCAUCAGCAGUCUUCAGAGUCCACUGAAGGUUGUUCCCUAUGAGCAAAGUAUAGUGUGCAUUGGCUUUCAUCAGGAAUUGAAAGAGUCUGCUGAAAGGGAAUUUCAGGUGGCCAGAGCAGGGCUUCUAGGGACUAAUCUAAAAGCAGUCAUACUUGAAGCGGUGCAGCCUUCCCUGAAAAGGCCACCUUCAAGAAAUAUAAACCUGUUUAGGUUUUAGCUUUGCUUUUAUCGGCAGUCUUGGAACUUCUUGGUCACACCUGGUAUAUAAUCUAAAUAAAUCACUGUGCUGUGAUUGUUGAAACUUAAACUUAAUGGUAUUGUUUUAAUCACAAAUUGUGAACCAUUUUGGUAAGUCACUCCACUUCAGAUGCAACAAGAGUGUUUGGGGGGGGGCAUUUCUCACAGUUGUCUUAACUUGUGUCUUUUAGUAUUUGGAGUUCUGUGAUGGCAUCUUGGUUCUGGAGGAUGGUGAGGUUCAGGAGGCUGGAAACCAUCAAGCCCUGAUGAAUGCAAAUGGGUGCUAUGCUCAACUCAUCAGCAAUUACCAGAUGGAAGAGUCUCAAAAGCAGAUGGAAGAUGAAGUGAUGUCCCUGGAUCCUGCCAACUUGAAUGAAUCUGAGCUCAGACCUGGUGAAGAUGUUGGAAUGAUGAACAACGAUCAUUCUUUUGGAUGAAGCCACAGCCUCCACAGAUCCAGAAACAGAUGCUCUGAUCCAAAAGACAGUCAAAGAGGCCUUUCAAGACAGCACUGUGCUCACCUAGCACAUCGCAUCAACACAGUGAUGAAUGCAGAUCGUAUUCUAGUCAUGAACAAUGGACAGGUGGCAGAAUUGGACCACUCAGAUGUCCUGAACCAAAGGCCAGAGUCUCUGUUCUCUUCUCUCCUGGCUGCUUCUAAAACAAUGAAGAGAUGAACUGGUGUGAAGCUGUGAUAUCAAAUAAGCACAGUAAUCCCUGUAAUUUAAUACAUUUACACAACAUAUUUUAAUGUUAAUGAAAAGGCAGUGUAACCUUUUUAUAAUUUUGAUCAGUCACAAACAUAUUGGAGUAUGUCGACCUGUCCCUCACACUUGGCUGCUAUUUAGUUUUCGCUUGUUUGGUUCUCUGUUUUAUUAGGUUUAAGCAGCAAAGCUUUUUUAAGCUUGAUCAUCAAGCUAACCAUUAGGUUCAGGUUUAGGUUAAAAUGUACUUUCACAGUAUAAAACAUCACAGCAUUCCCCAUUAGUAUUCACAUGCACUGUACACAGUUGUCUGAUGUCUCUGAAAUAAUAUUGCUCUGUUUAUUACCAAUAACUACUGAUGAUGCUGCCCUAUUUUAAAUGACAAGAAGGCAGAGGAGGGUACACAAUGGUGAGAAAUGAUGAACAUUCACUUAUCAGUAUUUUAUUAUUUCUCUAUUUAGAUAAGCAGGAUGUGUUUUUGUUUUUCAACCUCGAAGUUUUUAUAAAUAGUGCAUUUUACUUUUUACUUAAAUGCAUGUUAAAUGUUUCAUGGCUUUAAAUAGAAGUGAACACGAGUUUUUUUUAAUGUAAGUUUUAAAUCUAUUGUGUAAGUAGGGACAACUCACUUAAAAAAAAAAAAAACAUGGUGAGGGCUAACCUAAUAGUUACGUAGGUUUUUAGGUUUAAUUUAAAAAUGUAAUUAGUUGAUGUAGUAGCAGACAAGCUCACAAGAACCUUAAAAGAACCUUUUGAUGGGCGUAUAAAAAGUUUUUUUUUCUUAUUUUAAAUAAAUUUCAGCUGUUAACUGGUUAAAAAGUGCCACAAACUGACCCACAUUAAGAGGAUGUGUAGCAGGUGAAACUGCUGUAAACUAGGGGCAAAAUGUUUACUGCCACACAUAUUAAUAGAUGCCUUUUCUUAAAAUUGAAGAGCUUAAAAAUCAUUCAUUUUAAUAGAGGGUUAUUUGGAACUUUGAGUUGUAUGUUGUUGGAAAAUGUAUGAAAAAUGAAAUUAUAAUUAAUAAAAAGUCAUCAAAACUUGUCUUUCAAUUAAGCAGAGGUCAUAUGGUUAUAAAGAAGUAAAACUUCAGUGAAAGAAGCUCGAGUCAAGUGCACUUCAGCUGUCAUGUGGGGUAAGGACACACGAGGGCACUACAGGCUUCUAUACUCGUAUCCUUGAAGGACUGGGUUUCAUUUUUAAUAUGACCGAUCCUCCCUUGGCACAGACACAUGUUCUCAAAGAAAUGCUCUGUGAGGUUACCUUUUACUCACUGAACUUUAAAUAACUCAUCUCUCUGAAGAGAAACUACAAGCCUCUAAAUAUAUAAUAAUGUAUGGUUCAGUUAAACGGUACGAGUCUUUUUACAUCACUUAAUUGUAAAUAUCCACACCUGCUGAACAGAUUAGACUGGGCUUAAUAAUUCAUUGCAAGUUGUUGCAUUAAUAUUGGUUUAAAAAAUAAUUUGGUUUUCCCAAGCUACAUGGGAAAAUAUGCCAUUUUAUUAAAACUAGGAGAGGUUUUCUUUUUCUAAUCAGUGAUUGUAUAGAAUUCUUCUAAAGUUUUCUACAGUCAUUAUUUCUAAUACUACAGGUGUUUAGAUUCAUCUGAAGUCAAUUAUAAUUGUUUAUAAAUAAAAUUUAUACAGCAAAA
Molecule: long non-coding RNA, 5847 nt
Organism: Haplochromis burtoni (Burton's mouthbrooder)
Lineage: Eukaryota; Metazoa; Chordata; Actinopteri; Cichliformes; Cichlidae
Exons: 10
Source: RefSeq, a predicted model, not a curated record